Non-coding RNA from Glycine soja, 88 nucleotides. The record is from Rfam. NCBI's taxonomy places the organism in Eukaryota, Viridiplantae, Streptophyta, Magnoliopsida, Fabales, Fabaceae.
GGGCUAUGAUGAGAUCUAGAGAAUGUCAUGCACCACUCUGAUAAUUUAGUGCUGAUAAUUUUCUCAUACCCAUAUUCAAUCUGAGCUC